Amphimedon queenslandica is the source of this 1097-nucleotide long non-coding RNA. RefSeq lists it as uncharacterized. Lineage: Eukaryota; Metazoa; Porifera; Demospongiae; Haplosclerida; Niphatidae. The transcript has 5 exons. The record is from RefSeq and is a predicted model, not a curated record.
UGUUAAUGUAGGUUCUGAAAUCUUCAAAAAGUGGUGUUAAAGCUUCUGAUAUUCCAACUAAAUACAAGAAUUACUUUAUUGAGGACCUACCAUGGCAGUCUUUAGGGCAUGCUAGCAUUGUGGAGAUGUUGUUUGAGAUGACAGAUAUUGCUGACUUAGAGAAACCAACAAAAGAUGGAGAGUAUCUUGUUUUUGCUAAAAAAACAAGACGCUGCUAGUGUUUCUGCAGCAACUGCAUUAAUCAAAAAGCCCACAUCCAUUCCUGAAACAUUUUCACUGCUAGUGUGUAGAAUAUUGGAAGGGUCUUCACCUGUUCCUGUUCUCCAGUUUCCAAAGUUUUUUUAGAAAAUAACAACCAAGGAGCUCCCACUGAUUGAGUAUGGCUUCAGUACAGUUGAAGAGUUCCUAGCUUGCAUACCAGAGAUUAGUAUAAUUGAAGAUGAGAAAAAGGAGAAAGUUAUUAAAGUGACACAGCCUUAAAAAGAAGCCGAGAAGGAGGAGGAAGUAGCUACUAAGGGAAAGACACUCUCUGGCACCUGUGCUACUAAAAAGCAUACUACACAAGCAGGAUGACAUAAGACAUCUAAAGAGACAGUUUGAGGAAAAGAAAGAGGAAUAAGGGAACUAAGGUUAACAGCUUGCUAAAAGAGAACAACUUCAACAGAAAAUAAAGAUGCUCCAACAAGAAGUGACACAACUUGAGACAGAGAACAAAGAACAAUCCCAAGUAGAAAGAUAAUGCACUCAGUGCAUAUGAACCAUAACAGCACUAGGGAUGUACUCAAGAGAGCCAUUACAGUACUUGGCACAAAGCGCCAAGUACUGUAUUGGCUGUUUCAUGUGGUAUAUUAACAUAAAAUUCAUAAUGUUUAAUAACUAUUAAGAGCGUGCUCACUGCUCAGUUAAUAUCUUAUGUAAAUAAAUAGUGUAUGUUUGAGUAUAGACAAUUAGAGAACAAGAGGGAAUGAUAGAGAGAGAACUUCAUUUUGUUUAUUUUUGUGGUGUUUAUUCUGGCUGAUUUGUGUCCUCUGAUUUAUCUAUCAUUAUAAUCAAUUCUUGAAUUCAAUGCAUAACAUCUUGCAAGACUAAAGACUCAA